CCUACGGGUGGCAGCAGUAGGGAAUAUUGCUCAAUGGGGGAAACCCUGACGCAGCAACGCCGCGUGGGGGAUGAAGGUUUUCGGAUUGUAAACUCCUUUUGUUAGAGAAGAUAAUGACGUUAUCUAACGAAUAAUCACCUGCUAACUCCUGCCCAGCAGCCGCGGUAAUACGGAGGGUGCAAGCGUUCGUCGGAAUCACUGGGCGUAAAGAGCACGUAGGCGGGAUAGCAAGUCAGAUGUGAAAUCCUAGGGCUUAACCAUAGAACUGCAUUUGAAACUGGUAUUCUAGAGUAUGGGAGAGGUAGGUGGAAUUCUAGGUGUAGGGGUAAAAUCCGUAGAGAUCAAGAGGAAUACU
This 355-nucleotide ribosomal RNA is filed under the name uncultured bacterium. Its description in RNAcentral is "partial 16S ribosomal RNA". It matches the Rfam family "Bacterial small subunit ribosomal RNA", at positions 338 to 710 of the family's 1533-position model. The record is from RNAcentral.